UACGUAGGGACCGAGCGUUGUCCGGAUUCAUUGGGCGUAAAGAGCUCGUAGGCGGCCACUCAAGUCGAAUGUGAAAACUCGAGGCUUAACCUCGAGACGUCGGUGGAAACUGCCUGGCUAGAGUCCGGAAGAGGAGAGUGGAAUUCCUGGUGUAGCGGUGAAAUGCGCAGAUAUCAGGAAGAACACCCGUGGCUAAGGCGGCUCUCUAGUACGGUACUGACGCUGAGACGCGAAAGCGUUGGGGAGCGAACAGG
This 254-nucleotide ribosomal RNA is filed under the name uncultured bacterium. Its description in RNAcentral is "partial 16S ribosomal RNA". It matches the Rfam family "Bacterial small subunit ribosomal RNA", at positions 524 to 776 of the family's 1533-position model. The record is from RNAcentral.